Molecule: ribosomal RNA, 497 nt
Filed under: uncultured bacterium
Lineage: Bacteria
Description: partial 16S ribosomal RNA
Rfam family: Bacterial small subunit ribosomal RNA
Source: RNAcentral
GAUGAACGCUGGCGGCGUGCCUAAUACAUGCAAGUCGAGCGAACGGACGAGAAGCUUGCUUCUCUGAUGUUAGCGGCGGACGGGUGAGUAACACGUGGAUAACCUACCUAUAAGACUGGGAUAACUUCGGGAAACCGGAGCUAAUACUGGAUAAUAUUUUGAACCGCAUGGUUCAAAAGUGAAAGACGGUCUUGCUGUCACUUAUAGAUGGAUCCGCGCUGCAUUAGCUAGUUGGUAAGGUAACGGCUUACCAAGGCAACGAUGCAUAGCCGACCUGAGAGGGUGAUCAGCCACACUGGAACUGAGACACGGUCCAGACUCCUACGGGAGGCAGCAGUAGGGAAUCUUCCGCAAUGGGCGAAAGCCUGACGGAGCAACGCCGCGUGAGUGAUGAAGGUCUUCGGAUCGUAAAACUCUGUUAUUAGGGAAGAACAUAUGUGUAAGUAACUGUGCACAUCUUGACGGUACCUAAUCAGAAAGCCACGGCUAACUACGUG